UACGGGGGGAGCAAGCGUUGUUCGGAUUUACUGGGCGUAAAGGGCGCGUAGGCGGCCACCGCAAGUCGACUGUGAAAUCUCCGGGCUUAACUCGGAAAGGUCAGCCGAUACUGCGGGGCUAGAGUGCAGAAGGGGCAACUGGAAUUCUCGGUGUAGCGGUGAAAUGCGUAGAUAUCGAGAGGAACACCUGCGGCGAAGGCGGGUAGCUGGGCCGACACUGACGCUGAGGCGCGAAAGCCAGGGGAGCGAACGGG
RNAcentral lists this ribosomal RNA (254 nucleotides) under uncultured bacterium. RNAcentral describes it as "partial 16S ribosomal RNA". It matches the Rfam family "Bacterial small subunit ribosomal RNA", at positions 524 to 776 of the family's 1533-position model. The record is from RNAcentral.